CCCCCGCCGGGCUCUGCAGCCGUGCCACCUGCACAGACCUCCACUGUGCCUCUGACUCAGUGAGGCUGGGAAACCUGAUGAACAUAACUACCACUCAGACACAGCUCUGGAAAACUGGAAACUUAGAAAACAAUGAACUGCUGCUACAAACAAACCACAAUUGGCGAAGAAUACACUUAAAGCAUCUAUGGUCAAAACAUCUGGAAGAGUCUAUUUGAAGAUGGAGUAUGUGGAGAUUACACAGUGUAAGUGGUGUGUCCUGGAGAAGAAGAAGAACAAGAGAGAUGCUGAAAGCGCAGCAGUGUGUCUGACCUGAGGGAAGAAUGAUUCCUGGGAACAAUGACCGGACGCUCAGCAGAUACUACUGUUUCUUCUGUAGAGCAUCCCAAGGUGAGAGAAGAUGAGAUAUGAAAACUCUCCAACUGG
Amphiprion ocellaris (clown anemonefish) is the source of this 426-nucleotide long non-coding RNA. Lineage: Eukaryota; Metazoa; Chordata; Actinopteri; Pomacentridae. The record is from Ensembl.